UCAGUUAUACGGGACAUUCGAAGCCGCUUCUAUUCAGUCUUCCUGCAUCACUCCAGCUGAAUGCAGCAGACCGCUUUGGAGAGUUUAAUAGUGUUGUGUUCUAUACUUCAAUAACUUGGUGGUAAUUCUGGAAUUCCAGAUGAUGGCAGCAUCUGUUGUCACCAUAUUCGUUGCUGUCUUCGUGAUAGUCACUGUUAUAGAGGAAGCUCAAGCUGUGUGUUGUAAAGCAGACAAGAACGGGUGGUGUGCGGACUGUACUCCGACAACUCCAUAUUGUGGAUAUGGGAAGUGUAACAUAUUCGGCUGUGCUUGCAAAGGAGGCUGCAGAAAGAACUGCAACCCCGUGUACAGCGAUAAAUAUCGUCCACCGCCUUUCUGGGUAAGCUAUUACCGAAAAUGCAGAUGCCAAAACACAAGGUCUGUGGAAGAUGAGACCGGGGGAGGUACUGUCGCUAGAGAAACAUACCUUAAUUGAUGCACAUCUAGACGGAUUGCAGAGAAGAAAGAAGCUCAGAAGAUACAUAGCGAUAUUCAGACAAAAUAAAUUUAUGCUGUCGAGUAUGACAAUAGCACAGAUUAUCAAUUGGUAUUCUUUGAAUCUCUUUCAUUUUUGAUUUUCACUCAAAUUAAUACUCAGUUUUGAUAAAAUGUUAAACCAUCUGCCGUAUUUUUCAAUGAUUUUGUGAGAUGAUGUUUGCGACUUUAACAGGAAAUACAGGAUUUUUAAAGGGUU
This is an unclassified non-coding RNA of Lingula anatina, 733 nucleotides long. The record is from RefSeq and is a predicted model, not a curated record. NCBI's taxonomy places the organism in Eukaryota, Metazoa, Brachiopoda, Lingulata, Lingulida, Lingulidae.